CCUACGGGUGGCAGCAGUGAGGAAUAUUGGUCAAUGGACGAGAUCCUGAACCAGCCAAGCCGCGUGCGGGAAGACGGCCCUAUGGGUUGUAAACCUCUUUUGUCGGAGGACAAAACCCGGUACGUGUCCCUGUCUGCGUGUAUCCUACGAAUAAGCAUCGGCUAACUCCGUGCCAGCAGCCGCGGUAAUACGGAGGAUGCGAGCGUUAUCCGGAUUUAUUGGGUUUAAAGGGUGCGUAGGCGGUAUGUUAAGUCAGCGGUAAAAUUUCGGGGCUAAACCCCGACAAGCCGUUUAUACUGGAGGACUAGAGAGGGGGAGAGGUAGGCGGAAUGUGUGGUGUAGCGGUGAAAUGCGUAGAGAUAAUGCAGAACACCGAUUGCGAAGGCAGCUUACCAGACUGUAACUGACGCUGAGGUACGAAAGCGUGGGUAGCAAACAGGAUUAGAUACCCGUGUAGUC
Molecule: ribosomal RNA, 459 nt
Filed under: uncultured bacterium
Lineage: Bacteria
Description: partial 16S ribosomal RNA
Rfam family: Bacterial small subunit ribosomal RNA
Source: RNAcentral